This 8440-nucleotide long non-coding RNA is filed under the name Homo sapiens (human). RNAcentral describes it as "non-protein coding lnc-PERP-2:7". Lineage: Eukaryota; Metazoa; Chordata; Mammalia; Primates; Hominidae. The record is from RNAcentral.
GAACAACUGAAAUAUGUUCUUCAGCCUAGUGGAGACAAGUAAUUGUCAUUGGCUGGUGAGUGUUUCAGAUACUUCAAAGCAUGGGUUGUGCUUCACCCCACCCUCUCUAGCUAAACUCCUUGGCUAAUGGCCUGCAUGAUCUUAACUUCAUUCCGGAAAUACUGGUUAAGAGGAUUUGGGACAGGCCAUUUGGAGGCUGGUGAACCUGACAACUUACACAACCUACAUUUGCAAAGCCCAGUUAUUUUCUGACUAAUGGGUCAGAAAGAGGGGGCAGAAGAGGAGAGAGAAAUCUUCACCAAACAAACAGCCAGGCCAUCUGGGUGGAGUUGCUUAAGGCAGUCACAAAAAAAUGAUCACAUCAUUUACCUCUCAUUUAACAAGGGCAGAGCAGGGAUACUAGCUGUGAGACACUUCUGCUCCGGGAAAGGUAGGAGCAUUUGUACAAUCUUUCCAGUAUAGGGGAAGGGGGACAUGGGAGUAGAAGUUGGAUUGUUGAGUCACGAAGCAAAUAGGUGUCUUUUUAUUCUAAUUAACUUGAGAAAGAAAGAAUUUGGUAUUAUAUCAACCCAGCACUUAAACUUUUUACCUUCAUUGUAUAAAAACUGUUUGUGAAAAUUGUGCCACUAUGACUUACUUUUUGAUACGGAUAAUGGAGCAUUCUCUAAAGGGAGCAGAUGGAAUGAUGAGGAGGUUCAGAGUAGUGUCAAUCAUCAGGAAAGAGGGUGGCCCUGUUGGCCUGGGGGUGAGGGGAGAGGCUCUGACAAAGGUGCUCAGUCCCCAGCCAGGCUGCAUGUGGUUCUUGUCUACCUGGGUCCACCUGAAAAGACACUACCAGAUUGAUUUGGGGUGUAUCCUGGGCAGUGAGACUUUUGAAAGUGCAUUGGUUGAUUCUAAUGCACAAUCCAGUUGAGAACCACUGUUGAGGGAGCAGGGUGCCUGAAUCAUGAAAUAAAAAGAGGCUUUUUAUGGGAAAGGCUCUCUAUCUCUCUUCUUUAACACCAGGAAAGGAGCUGUAUUAGUGAUAGGAAGUGAUGGGGAAGCCAAUGGGGGCUCAAAAGAAAGAAAGCUUUGAUGCUUGGUACUGAAAUGGAAGUGGCGUGGUAAGUGGAGGAGCCCCUGAUGCUGGAAAUGAUCAAGGAGAAGGUGGACAACCAUUGACUGGGAAGGCUGAACUAGCCCAGUGAUGGCUAGAUAGUGUCAGGAGGACCAGAAGCAACCUCAAGUCCCUUCCCCUUCACUCAGGGCAGCUCAGUUUUCUCUCUUUUUCUGUAUUGGUUUGGGUUUCCCCAUAAAGAUUUCCUUUGAAGAAAGAGUCUGCUCAAAAAAACUUUUAAAACCACAUAACUAGUUGACCUUUAUGGCUAUUACCAAUCUGAAGUUCUGUAGCAUUAAAUCUUCUUUGAUGUUUUCUAAGAAACCAGGCUACUGAUUGAUCCAUUCUUCCAAAGGCCAAGGGGGAAAGGAAGGAGAGCUUACAAGGGUGGAAAGCAUGAGUAGAAGAGGGGAGACUUCUCUUAGCUGAGGGCCAGGGCAGGAGCCCUUAACCCUGUCUAGGCUUGGAACCACCUGGGAACUUUUCAGUAAGACACCCUCCCAAAGCAGUGAUAUCAGUCUCUGGGGAUGGUGCCUGGGCGUGGGUAUUCAUGAAAUGCAGCAGAGUUGAGAACCACUGGCUUAAUAGAUGGGCACUGAGGAGAACUCUUUUUAUACAUUGAGGCCAAACAUGUUAGACAACCACGAACACGGCAGUUCUUAAACUUCAGCUGCAUCAGAAUCACCUAGGCUUGUUCAGACAGAUCACUGGGCUCCACCCCCAGAGUUUCUGAUUUAGUAGGCCUGUGAUAAAGCCAAGAAUUUGCAUUUUUAACAAGUUCCAGGUGAUGCUGACACUGCUGAUCUGGGGGACCACACUUUGAGAACCACUGCUUUAACAAUAGGAAUUUACUUUUGACCUUAAAAACAACUCCCUAACAUUGGCAAGCGAUUGAUAGUGUGCACCCUUGAUGAUAUGAUAUAAUGAGAAUGGCACUUUGCCUCUGUGGUCUCCCUCCCAUUAAAUGCAUUAACUCAGUCUAAUCAUGAGUAAAACAUCAGACAAAACCCAAUGGAAGGACAUUCUACAACAUACCUGACCAGUAAUCCUCAAAACUAUCAAGGUCAGCAAAGCCAAGGAAAGUCUAAGAAACUGCCACAGCUAAGAGGAGCCUAAGGAGACAUGACUACUAAAUACAAUGUGGUAUCCUGCAUGGAAUCCUGGAAUAGAAAAAGCACAUUAGGGGCAGGGCACGGUGACUCACACCUGUAAUCCCAGCACUUUAGGAGGCUGAGGCAAGCAGAUCACUUGAGGUAAGGAGUUUGAAACCAGCCUGGCCAAGAUGGUGAAACCCCAUCUCUGCUAAAAAUACGAAAAUUAGCUGGGUGUAUUGGCGGGCGCCUGUGAUCCCAGCUACUUGGGAGGCUGAGGCAGAAGAAUCACUUAAACCCAGGAGGUGGAGGCUGCAGUGAGCCGAGAUCGUGCCACUGCACUCCAGCCUGGGCAACAGAGUGAGACUCCAUCUCAAAAAAGAAAAAGGAAAAAAGACAUUAGGGAAAAGCUGAGGAAAUAAUGUAUCAAUACUGAUUCAUUGGUCAUGACAAAGGUACCAUAUUAAUGUAAUAUGUUAACAAUAGGGGAAACUCAGUAUUAGGUAGGGAGCGCUCUGUACCAUUACUGCACUAAUUACAUUACUGCACUAAUUACAUUAAUUCUGUAAUUUUAAAACCAUUCUAAGAUAAGCAGUUUAUUUGAAAAAAAAAAAAAAAAAAAAAAAAAAAAAAGAACUUCCUGACUGCUGAAAUACAGACCGUUCCUGAUUGUGGUUAUGGAGGAGGUGUCUUCAAAAGCAUCAAGGAAAAAAUAUCAAAUAAUUGUAUUUGUUUGACUGAAGACUUAUCUGGAUACAGGAGGCCUCCCGAGUAGCUGGGACUACAGGCACCUGCCACCAUGCGGGGCUAAUUUUUUGUAUUUUUAGUAGAGACCGGGUUUCACCAUGUUAGCCAGGAUGGUCUCAAUCUCCUGUCCUUGUGAUCCGCCCGCCUUGGGCUCCCAAAGUGCUGGGAUUACAGGCAUGAGCCACCGUGCCUGGCCUGAUUCAAGUUUGAAUAUAUCCGUGGAGCACUGUGUGCUCACGGCAGAUGAGGGUAGAGGUGAGAAGACCCAACAACUCUUUGGAUAUCCACGUGUUAACCAGCCAGGCAUUUACAUUGUUUCCCUAACUUGGCUUCAGUUCCCCUCAGCCUUUUGAGUGUUGGUCGCUGAUCGUGGUUAUGGAGGAGGUGUCUUCAAAAGCAUCAAGGAAAAAAUAUCAAAUAUUUUGAUAUUUGAUAUCAAAUAUCAAAAUUUGCCAUGGUGCCCAGCAUGGUUCAAGAUCAUAAGUGUCAAGCACAUCAGGUAAGGAAGAUAAUAAUAAUUCAAGGGCAAAUGAAUUGCCCCAUGGACAGUGAAUUACAGUAUGCUACAAUGGAUUUGUUUGGACCAUUUAUCUUUUCUUUUGAAUUGACUUAACUGUACAUUUGUAGGAGAUAAGCAGGAAAUCAGAAGCACUCCUAGGGAUUGGCACUGGUCUAAAUGACAGCCCUAAGGAGGAGCUUAGAUACCAGAUUCAUCCUCCAUCCAGGCAGAAGCUCCCCAGGGAUAAAACUGCAAGGUUAAAUGUGAAACUCAAAAUUUGAAGCAAAAGCCUCUCCUCUUCUGCACUUCUUUUCUUCCUAAGUUGAGCAGUAAUACUAGAAACAGAGUCAAUUGAACCUGAAUAGCUCCUCUGGGGUACCAGGCAUCAUUCUAAGGAACUCGUUUCAUCCUCACAGAGGCACAGAUGGGGUAUGUAACUUGCCAAAGCUCACACUGCUUGGAGUAGAGUCAGGAUUCUAAUCUGGCUUGUCUGGCUCCAGAGCCCACGUUCUAAACCAUUAGGCUCAUUCUGCCUCUCUUGGAGAAGACACAAGAAGUCCCAGUCUUGGCUAGCCUGGCUAGUUCCAGAGACCUCCAUAGCUAAACAAGGUGUAGAAAUAGAAUGUCCCGUCACUUAGCUAUACUUCUAUCCUUCCCACCUUCUACACAACUACCAUUACCAUUGCCACCAGCAACUGGUAAAUAUUGAUGGAGCUUCUUUUCUUUGCCAGGCACCAUAGAUACAAAAACUAAAAAAAAAAAAAAAGAGACUGUAAUCUUGACCUCAGGAACUACAGAGGAGAUAGACAUCCAAGCAAAUAUGCCAACAAAAUCCCAAGUGGGGUCUAGUAAGGGCCAAAAAAAAAAAAAAAAAAAAAAAAAAAAAAGAGCUGGUGUAGCCAGAUGGGCAGGGACUCACCUUGCUUCAGGGACAAAUUUGCAGUGGUGAUGAAUUCCUUUCAUUCUUAGCUUUCCUCCUAUUACUUCCCUGAUUUAUUUUACUUACAAAUGACACGUCUAAAUGGCAGAGACCUGAAGUUCUCUUGAUGGGGUGCUGAGAUGUUCAGAAGGGAGGUAUCGGCAAGAAUCUUCUGUUCCAUAUGCAACAUCUUCUGGCAGCCUUGUCCUUUUUCUGUCCUUGACGACUACAAUAACAAACAGCUGUUGCCGAGGCAUUGCUGUUGACGUGUUACCUUUGAAACCUCCCUCCUGUUAUGGAAUAAGCCUCUUCCAGAUCAUGGCUCAUUAUCAUCUAGUCUGACAAGCAGCCUUGUUGCCACGGAGACCCAAAGGGAUCAGGCGUGGCAUUUGCCUGCAUCAUCACCCCCUCCAGGGGAACUAUAAGGACUCUUCUGUGCGUCAUGCGUGGCUGUCCUGGGACUGGCUGCCACCAGACUUUUCCUGCGGGUAAAACCUAAACAAAUGAUCAGCUGCAGAUAAUAUCAAGACCUCUGUUUGAUAUGUUAAUAGUGACAGCCAGAUUUCCACAAUUAACAACGAGGUGGGAAGAAAACACUGUAGUCACCAGACUUGGGAGGAGAGGGUUUGUAUUCACAUAAACACAACCUCACGUCACUGCUUGCCACCACAAAGGGCUCUGUUCACUGUUUUGUUCUCAAAGAUCAUCCUUGCGCUCAUCCUCUGAUCUUGAAUUUCUACAUAACUUUCUCAGUUUAUAUGCCCUGUGGCAAGUGCAGCAAGCACUGUUUCCUGUUUCUAAACUUGUAGAAAAUCAUCCAUACAUCUUACAGUUGUCAGUUUUAACCAGAUAACAGUGGCACUUUGUUGCUGCUUUUUUAUCUUUAGCUUAGGUUAACAGGACCCUGGAAGUAAAGUUGUUGAUUUAUUCAAUAGAGUAUUCUCAAUUAAUUUGGCUAGAUUUCUACAUGAUUCAAAAUCUAAAAAAGUAGAAAUGCAUGCUUACAUGUCUAAGGCCUGAAAAAUUGGUAGUGACAUCCCAAAAUAAAUGAAGGUUUUAAAACAAUAAAUGAUCUCUUUUUUUUUUUUUGCUUCUGUGCUUGGGGAGAAGCAAUGAAGGAAACAACAAUGUUGCUUUAAGGAGUGAGGACCCCAAAAAUAAGAAUAUAUAAUUAUGACAGAUAGGGCAUAGGGCGUUGUUCAGAAUUGAUGGGGCUGGUGCACACACAAACAUUUUAAUAGUUCUAAUACUUUGUGUACACUCUUGCGAUGAAGUGAUGACUUCAUUAAUUGAUUGAAUAAUAUUUAUGCAAUGCUACUAUGUGCUAGCUAUAGAACUAAGCUUAGUCUCUUAAGAUCUUAACAUUCUGAAACUAUUAAAAUGUAUAAUCACCAUUUGUAAAAGUAAAUAUACUAAUCUAAUAAUUUGGAAUGUACAUUACAGUAAAAAAAAAGCAGGGGAACAUCCUGUAAAAUGUCACUCAGAGAUAACCACCACUUACAGAGUGAAGUAUAUUCCUGCUUUUUGCGGAUAGUGUGUGCGUAUAUAUGUUUAAGCAAAGCUAACAAUAUACUAUUUUUAUAAUUGGCAUUUACUUUUUCUUUUGCUUAACUUUAUAUCAUAACCUCUUUCCCACAUCAUUACAAACUCUUCAUAAAUAAUCUUACAAAUGGUUAUGUAAUAUUUAUCUUAUUUGUAACACAUACUAUCUUCUUUUUUUCAUCAACACACUGCAUGGAUAACAGAUUUAUUUUUUAAGUCAAAAAUCUUUCUUGGCUACACUAACCAAUGUUUUUGGUUUUUGUUUUGUUUUGUUUUGUUUUGAGACAGAGUCUCACUCUGUCUCCCAGGCUGGAGUGCAGUGGUGUGACCUCGGCUCACUGCAACCUCCGCCUCCUGGGUUGAAGCGAUUCUUCUGCCUCAGCCUCGCAAGUAGCUGGGAUUACAGGCAUGUGUCACCAUGCCUGGCUAAUUUUUGUAUUUUUAGUAGAGAUGGGGUUUCACCAUGUUGAUCAGGCUGGUCUCAAACUCCUGACCUCAAGUGAUCCACCCUCCACGGCCUCCCAGAGUGCUGGGAUUAUAGGUGUGAACCACCACGCCUGGCCACUAACCAAUGUUCCUUAGAAAAGUUAACCUCAUUUGUGUUUGGGGAUGUCACUCCCGUUCUCUUGGAGAUACAAGUGCACACACACCACAACCCUUGGAGCCUGACAGGCCCAGACCAUAGAUGUGUGUCCAACACGAUGACCUUUCCUCAUUCCCUUGUGGGUCCUCCUGAUGGGCCAGGUCUUCAUGUUUUUACUGAUGAAUUCAAGACCCAGCACUUCGGAUUCAGUGUCCCUCAACACUGCCACAUAGCCAUCCUCCCAUGUGCUUCCUGGUGGUGGGUCACUCCCUAACACCAUUAUGAGCACCUAAUAUGUGUCAAACACUGAUCUAGAACAGAAACCAAACACAAGACAAAUAAAAUUCUUUUUUUUUUUUUUUUGAGAGAGAGUCUCGCUCUGUCACCCAGGCUGGAGUGCAGUGGUGCAAUCUUGGCUCACUACUACAACCUCCGCCUGCCAGGCUCAAGAAAUCCUCUCACAUCAGCCUCCCAAGUAGCUGGGACCACAGAUGUGCACCACCAUGUCCAACUAAAUUUUUGUACUUUUGGUAGAGAUGGGAUUUCACCACAUUGGCCAGGCUGGUCUCGAACUCCUGGCCUAGGGUGAUCCUCGGCCUCCCAAAGUGCUGGGAUUACAGGUGUGAGCCACCACACCCAUCUGCAAGGCAGAUAUAAUUCUUACCCUUGCAGAACUUACAGUCUUGGAGGAGAUAAGCAUUUAAUCAAGUAAUUAUGACAUUUGCUACAAGAGUUCAUAGCAGAGGGGACUUAACCAGCGUAGGUGACAUUUAAACUAAAAAUGUGAAAAACCUGUGAAAUUAAUCAGAAGAAGAGGAGGAAAGCAACUCCACUGUGUUUCCUGCUAGGUCUCAUCUUCCCAACAGAUGCUUGGACUCUCUUCAUCGCCACUUUGAAAUAUGAGGACACUCUUAAUUUAGGUCAAAUUUUUUUCCUCCUGGACUUGCAAUAUGUUGUUUCCUUUUUCUGGAACACAUUAUGAUACUUCCUUGAAACGGCAAGAUUCUUUUAUUCCCAUUGUUUCUGCUUCUUGAAGUAUUAAUCAGAAUAUUUCAUCUGCCAUCCCCUUCUGCUUACUUUCACAUAGUUUUCAGGAGUUAGUUUAAAUGUCACCCCCCUCUGGUUAGGUGCCUCUGCUAUGCAUUCCUGUAACAAGUGUAAUAAUUACUUAAUUCAAUGUAUAUCUCCUCCCAACCUGCAGUUCCUCCCAGUAUUGGAAGGAUAAGAAUCAUAACUGGUUUGUGUUUGGUGUCUGUUCUAGCUCAUUGUUUGACACAUAUUAGGUGCUCAAAAAAUAUUGAAAUGAAUAGUAGGCAUUUAGGGUGUUCCGUUUUUUUUUUAAUAAGCAAUGAUGAAAUGAACAUCUUUUAUGCAUGAUGUCCAUAUUUUGGAAUUUUUAAAUUACUUUCUGAUGAUAAGUUCUUGGAAGCAGAAUUACUAGGUCAAAGGAUACAAACCCUUAGAGUCCUCUUGGGAAACAGCACAUUGCUUUCCAGAAAGUUUUAUACUCCUGCAAGCAGUUUAUGAGAUUUCCUGUUUCAUUGUGCUCUUAUCAACAUGAUUAGGCAAAGAAAUUAUUUUUGCUAACUUGAUAGUAAGAAAAAUUACUCUACUACUGUUUCAAUUUUGCCUUUGUUAAGUAACAAGAUGAACAUUUUCCAUCUGUUUUUUAUUUAUUUAUAUUUGCUGUAUUGUGAGUUGUCUUGUGUCCUUUGUCCAUUUCUAUUCUGAAAUCUUCAUGUUUUUCGAAUCAAUUUUUAUAAGCUCUAUGUUUCAGAAGAUAUUAGAUGAUUAUCUCUUAUUUUUUACUGUAGAUCUUUCUAUGUAGAUGUUUGUAUUUUAGUCUGUGCCCUUCUUAAUGUUCAGAAGUUUACCAUUUUUCUGUGGUCAGGUCUGUUAUCAUUUCCCAUGGGAUUUCUUACAUGACAAACUCACAGUGCUCUUCAACAGCAGUGAUUAAAUA